UGUCAGUCACGAUUUGCUGCAAAGGGAAAAAAGGCGUCCUUGAGGAGGCGGCCGAGACGGACGCGCCGCUUCAUCGCCUGCGCCGUUCCUCUUCCUCCGAGCAGCUCUGGCUGAGUCGCUCUGGCUGCCACGGUGAUGCAACAUCUCCAGUGAGAACACAGUGUUUCCAGCACUUUCCCUCCGCUUGUUUACUCUUGCACAUAUUUAUUUGGCUGCCCGACAGGCACAGAGACAGUGGCGCAUCAGGCCAGAAAACGAGGCGUAGAAAUGGAAUGACACAGAGAAGGAAAACAGCGGAAACUUCUCCCUCAAAGCAGUAAAGAAGCGCCGAGGAGCUAAGAGGAUCUGGAUGUCAAAUUAUGACAUUUAUUAUGGGCACCAGGCGGCGCAGGUAGAGAGACCACCUGAGGAGGAGGAGGAGGAGGAGGAACACGUGCUUUGCGAAGACCACCCACGAAGUAGCCGUCAGACAUGAAGCAAAGAACUGAGGAACUCAUCCGCGCGUCCAUCAAAUCAAAACGCUUUAUGAUGAAGAGAAGAGAAGCGCA
This is a long non-coding RNA of Scleropages formosus (Asian bonytongue), 548 nucleotides long. RefSeq lists it as uncharacterized. Lineage: Eukaryota; Metazoa; Chordata; Actinopteri; Osteoglossiformes; Osteoglossidae. The transcript has 3 exons. The record is from RefSeq and is a predicted model, not a curated record.